GUGUAGCUCAGUGGUAGAGUGCUUGCCUAGCAUGUGCAAGGUCCUGGGUUCAAUCUCUAGUACA
Molecule: transfer RNA, 64 nt
Filed under: Marmota monax (woodchuck)
Lineage: Eukaryota; Metazoa; Chordata; Mammalia; Rodentia; Sciuridae
Description: tRNA.Ala
Source: RNAcentral